UGCCAGCCGCCGCGGUAAUACGGAGGGUGCAAGCGUUAAUCGGAAUUACUGGGCGUAAAGCGCGCGUAGGCGGCUUUGUAAGUCGGAUGUGAAAGCCCCGGGCUCAACCCGGGAAUUGCAUUCGAUACUGCAUGGCUAGAGUAUGGUAGAGGGAAGUGGAAUUUCCGGUGUAGCGGUGAAAUGCGUAGAUAUCGGAAGGAACACCAGUGGCGAAGGCGACUUCCUGGGCCGAUAUUGACGCUGAGGCGUGAAGGCGUGGGUAGCGAACGGGAUUAGAUA
RNAcentral lists this ribosomal RNA (279 nucleotides) under uncultured bacterium. RNAcentral's name for it is "partial 16S ribosomal RNA". It matches the Rfam family "Bacterial small subunit ribosomal RNA", at positions 506 to 784 of the family's 1533-position model. The record is from RNAcentral.